UGCAUCGGCCUGUAAUCGAACCCGCUCCGCCCGCGUGACAGGCGAGCAUUCUGCCACUGAACCACCGAUGG
RNAcentral lists this transfer RNA (71 nucleotides) under Cordylochernes scorpioides. Its description in RNAcentral is "tRNA-Asp". Lineage: Eukaryota; Metazoa; Arthropoda; Arachnida; Pseudoscorpiones; Chernetidae. The record is from RNAcentral.